RNAcentral lists this ribosomal RNA (243 nucleotides) under uncultured bacterium. RNAcentral describes it as "partial 16S ribosomal RNA". It matches the Rfam family "Bacterial small subunit ribosomal RNA", at positions 524 to 765 of the family's 1533-position model. The record is from RNAcentral.
UACGAGGGGGGCAAGCGUUGUUCGGAUUUAUUGGGCGUAAAGGGUGCGUAGGCGGUUUGGCAAGUCUUGUGUGAAAUCUUUGGGCUCAACCCAAAGUCUGCAUAAGAAACUGCCGGGCUUGAGUAUGGGAGAGGUGAGUGGAAUUUCCGGUGUAGCGGUGAAAAUGCGUAGAUAUCGGAAGGAACACCUGUGGCGAAAGCGGCUCACUGGACCAUUACUGACGCUGAGGCACGAAAGCUAGGG